RNAcentral lists this long non-coding RNA (296 nucleotides) under Salvia miltiorrhiza (redroot sage). RNAcentral's name for it is "long non-coding RNA (SMIL_LNC012697)". Lineage: Eukaryota; Viridiplantae; Streptophyta; Magnoliopsida; Lamiales; Lamiaceae. The record is from RNAcentral.
GUUGGAGGAUGAGGUGUUAAUACUUGAAAAGAUCCAAGGAGCUCAAAAUCCAGCCGACAUGCUUACAAAGGCAGUAACCAUUGAUAAAUUGAAGUUGUGCUCAGCUUCAAUUGGUUUGCUAGAAUAACAAAGACAGAAAGGCUGCUGCGUUGAUCGAGGUGUGAAGACAGAUUGAAAUCAGUCUUCAAGUGGGAGAUUGUUAGUCAAAUAGGAGCACCUCAACAAUUCCAACUUUGCUACCUCAAAUUUCAAACAUGGCUAGCUGCACCUACCACAUCAUUUGCCUAUAAAUAAAC